Molecule: long non-coding RNA, 217 nt
Filed under: Elaeis guineensis (African oil palm)
Lineage: Eukaryota; Viridiplantae; Streptophyta; Magnoliopsida; Arecales; Arecaceae
Description: long non-coding RNA (EGUI_LNC073079)
Source: RNAcentral
CCAUCCCCAUCAUCCUACGCCUCAUGGCACUGGAUCUAGAUUAUGAUAUAUAAUCAACUUCUUAAAGAAUAAUUUAAAAAUUAAAUUAUAUAUUAUGUUUAUUCUAGUCUAAUUCUAGAAUCUUUUUAUGCAAAAAGUCAUGCCCCAUGGACAUAAAUUGGAAUGGUAGGAAGAGGGGGAACUGGCUAUAUGAACGGCUAGAGACCGGUGUGGAGAG